RNAcentral lists this transfer RNA (58 nucleotides) under Apaloderma vittatum (bar-tailed trogon). It matches the Rfam family "tRNA", at positions 8 to 63 of the family's 71-position model. From Rfam's summary of the family: Transfer RNA (tRNA) molecules are approximately 80 nucleotides in length. Their secondary structure includes four short double-helical elements and three loops (D, anti-codon, and T loops). The record is from Rfam by way of RNAcentral. Lineage: Eukaryota; Metazoa; Chordata; Aves; Trogoniformes; Trogonidae.
UAGCUCAAGGGUUAGAGUACUGGUCUUGUAAACCAGGGGUAGUGAGUUCAAAUCUUGC